RNAcentral lists this ribosomal RNA (654 nucleotides) under uncultured bacterium. Its description in RNAcentral is "bacterial SSU rRNA". It matches the Rfam family "Bacterial small subunit ribosomal RNA", at positions 62 to 697 of the family's 1533-position model. The record is from RNAcentral.
UCGACGCGAAGUCCCGCAAGGGAUUAGUAGAGUGGCAAACGGGUGAGUAACACGUGGGUGACCUGCCUUCGAGUGGGGGAUAACGUUCCGAAAGGGACGCUAAUACCGCAUGAACAUCCUGCCUUUGAACAGGUGGAGAUUAAAGCCGGGGAUCGCAAGACCUGGCGCUUGAAGAGGGGCCCGCGUCCGAUUAGCUAGUUGGUGGGGUAACGGCUCACCAAGGCAACGAUCGGUAGCCGGCCUGAGAGGGCGGACGGCCACACUGGGACUGAGACACGGCCCAGACUCCUACGGGAGGCAGCAGUAGGGAAUUGUUCGCAAUGGGCGCAAGCCUGACGACGCAAUGCCGCGUGGAGGAUGAAGAUCUUCGGGUCGUAAACUCCUUUCGAUCGAGACGAAUGGCCCCUGGGCUAAUCACCAGGGGAGUGACGGUACCGAGAGAAGAAGCCCCGGCUAACUCCGUGCCAGCAGCCGCGGUAAUACGGGGGGGGCAAGCGUUGUUCGGAAUUACUGGGCGUAAAGGGCUCGUAGGUGGCCAACUAAGUCAGACGUGAAAUCYSUCGGCUUAACCGGGGAACUGCGUCUGAUACUGGAUGGCUUGAGUUUGGGAGAGGGACGCGGAAUUCCAGGUGUAGCGGUGAAAUGCGUAGAUAU